GCGCCUGUAGCUCAGUGGAUAGAGCAUCCGCCUUCUAAGCGGUUGGUCGCAGGUUCGAUCCCUGCCAGGCGCA
Molecule: transfer RNA, 73 nt
Filed under: Longispora sp. (in: high G+C Gram-positive bacteria)
Lineage: Bacteria; Bacillati; Actinomycetota; Actinomycetes; Micromonosporales; Micromonosporaceae
Description: tRNA-Arg
Rfam family: tRNA
About the family: Transfer RNA (tRNA) molecules are approximately 80 nucleotides in length. Their secondary structure includes four short double-helical elements and three loops (D, anti-codon, and T loops).
Source: RNAcentral